Molecule: long non-coding RNA, 1692 nt
Organism: Agrilus planipennis (emerald ash borer)
Lineage: Eukaryota; Metazoa; Arthropoda; Insecta; Coleoptera; Buprestidae
Exons: 3
Source: RefSeq, a predicted model, not a curated record
UUGAAUAGAUCGCCAGUAUGGCUGUUUCAGAGAAUACGCGGAAGUUGAACGGAACUGUUAAUCAUUAAAUGACAUUUUAACGAGAAAAACAGGAUUACAGCGAAUCCGCAUCAACUAAAUUAGAUUUCAUUUGCUGUACCUAAGUGUCUCCCUGCGUCAAUUGUUGUUAAAUCCAAUACGGCACAUGCUCGACAUGUGACGCUUCGCUUCAUGGUAUGUCCAAACACAAUACAAUGACUGUAGGUUUUGAAUAGGCUCUAAAUUCGAAGAGACCCGGACCGGUUCAGAAGCUGCAUGGACCAGUUUUGUAGAAAGAGAAGGGAAAACAAAGAUUCGGUCAGCUGCUCUCUCCACGCUACUGCUGUUCGAUGUAGACGGAUGAGUCAAACGAAUGUGAAAGGCCAAAAACUUACCAUGGAUAGAGUCCGAGUUACUUUAUAUUACAUACACACAUAGUAUGGGUACACAUACAAGUAUACAAAUUAUGAACAGUUCACCCUACGUAACUUUUCAAAGACGAUCCUUAAAUAUUCGCUGUUUUUGUUCUUUUCUUUCAGUGACUCGAGAACCCUAAGUAAAAGUAUUAGACUAAAAGGGGAAAAUUUGAAGAAUAAAUUCGAAUUUUAAGAAGCCAGGUGAUAUAAGAAACGUCGACGAUGGGAAAGCAGUUUUGCAUGAAAGAGAACAAAGUGAAUCUAAAACAAUGAUAGUCAGAAAGCGUUUCUUUACACAUUCGUUUAACCGAAAUAAACCCUUAAUGUGUACUAUCUUCAAUUCAUGAACACUAAUGAAUAUGUAAUUCCAUAAAUGACAUUAGAUAAAUUUAUGUACAUUUGUACCUGCUUAAAAGUAAUUCAGAAUUAGAGUUUGUAUAUUAAAUUAAAGGUCUUGGCGUUCUACGUUAAUUACAAUAUAGACGGUUCACGCGUACCUGACCAAAACGAAAACCAUAACAAGAAGACAUGCGUUUUCAUGAGAUUUUUCGAGUUUUAUUAGUGAGUGAUAUCAAAUGAGAGACACAUUUGUGUUAAUAUGUACUCAAAACUCAAAAACAUUAACAAGGUGAAUUGAUUUGGUCAUUUUUAGGAAUCUCUAGUGUUUCAAUAUUGCUAAUAUAAAUCUUUGUAUAAUCACAAAGCGAAUCAUCAAAAUCCAUUCGGGUUACGUUAGUUUUGAAAAGGGUUACUUACUGUAACACGGGAGAUGAUUUAAUUUAAAUGUUCUUUGAUUAAAAGGAUAAAAGUGCAGGUAGCGACUACAAUUAUGUUUUUACGAUUCUCCGAAAAACAGUUUUUAUAUGACAGAUAAAACUCCAAGCUCAUCAUUUAAUGUGUACUCAGUUCAGGUACAAAUAUAAGUGCUUUACUUUACAAAAGUAAUUAGUUUCCUUCUUGUAAGUGAAUUCAACCAUUUUUAUGGAUGCAAGCAUCAGUCAAAGUCAAACAUUUUACCUGGAGUAUCAGCCAAGGUAAAUUAAUUUUUAAAAAUGGCAGUCGUCAUAUUUUUAGGAUGUCUUAGCAAAUCAACCAAGCACCAGCAAAUUCGUGCGGUUGCCGAUGUCUGCACACAAAAUGAAAAUUUAUGUACCCUCCUGUUAGGAACGAGAUAAGCAGUUGUUAUCAUAAGCCCUUAUCGAUUCACGAUAGCAUCUCCGCUAACUCUUUUUAACAAAAUUACAAAAGGGAGAAUCCA